GCAAGUCGAACGGUAACAGGCAAAGCUUGCUUUGCGCUGACGAGUGGCGGACGGGUGAGUAACGCGUAGAUAUCUGCCUAGUAGUGGGGGAUAGCCCGGAGAAAUCCGGAUUAAUACCGCAUACGCCCUACGGGGGAAAGAAGGCCUCUUCUUGAAAGCUUUCACUAUUAGAUGAGUCUGCGUCGGAUUAGCUUGUUGGUGAGGUAAGAGCUCACCUAGGCGACGAUCUCUAGCUGGUUUGAGAGGAUGAUC
Molecule: ribosomal RNA, 252 nt
Filed under: uncultured bacterium
Lineage: Bacteria
Description: partial 16S ribosomal RNA
Rfam family: Bacterial small subunit ribosomal RNA
Source: RNAcentral